UUAACUAACCCAAAAAAGUCUUAUUCUUUUACCAUAUCAACGGACUAUUCUAUUGCAUACGAUCCAAGUUAUGAUAUAAAAUUAUAAAAAAGAAAAAAUUGAGGGAAAACAAAAAGAAGAAGAUAUUUCAUGAGAAAUUGUGUGGUAAAAUCCUUCAAAAAUUGUAUAUAAAGGAGACCCUGCAACCUUCUUUUUUCGACACUCAACUCAACCCUACAAAAAUACCGUAGCUAAUUCCACAAUGAAAACUUCGUUGCUUAUUGUCCAACUAGUUGCGAUCAUUUCACUCCUCAUUUUUAUACUGACGAAAUCUGAUGAUGGAAGGGGCUGCAGGGACUCCCCCUGUACCCCUGUUCCUCCAUGAGGUUCAUCUACAUGCGUUUCCGUAAGAUGCUCAACUAGUAAAAUUCAUGUGUUAGUAUCGAAUAUGUUUAAAGUUUAAUUUUUUUUUUAUGCAUUUUGAGUUUUUUGCCAACAGUAUUUUGAGCCUCUUUAGAAGCUGAUUCCAUAUCGAUGUUCGAAAAUAUGAUAAACGGUGUGUAUGAUGCUCAAGUUUAUGUUAUUUAAAUUGAAGUCCAAGUCUUAAAUAUAAAUAUAUAUUUGGUGAAUAAUAUAGAUAUAUAUUUUGUAUGCAAGUAAUUUAACCCUUUUUUUUAGCUAAUUUUUUCAAUGUAUUUUGACUUUUGAGCCUUUUAAAAAAUAAAAGAUUUUUUCCUUACAAAUCAGAUUUUUCC
Molecule: long non-coding RNA, 734 nt
Filed under: Gossypium raimondii (Peruvian cotton)
Lineage: Eukaryota; Viridiplantae; Streptophyta; Magnoliopsida; Malvales; Malvaceae
Description: long non-coding RNA (GRAI_LNC007289)
Source: RNAcentral